Molecule: ribosomal RNA, 787 nt
Filed under: human gut metagenome
Description: bacterial SSU rRNA
Rfam family: Bacterial small subunit ribosomal RNA
Source: RNAcentral
UGAGUAACACGUGAGCAACCUGCCUUUCAGAGGGGGAUAACGGCUGGAAACGGUCGCUAAUACCGCAUGAUGUGUUCGGAUGGCAUCAUCUGAACAUCAAAGAUUUAUCGCUGAAAGAUGGGCUCGCGUCUGAUUAGAUAGUUGGUGGGGUAACGGCCUACCAAGUCUACGAUCAGUAGCCGGACUGAGAGGUUGAACGGCCACAUUGGGACUGAGAUACGGCCCAGACUCCUACGGGAGGCAGCAGUGGGGAAUAUUGCACAAUGGGGGAAACCCUGAUGCAGCAACGCCGCGUGAAGGAUGACGGUUUUCGGAUUGUAAACUUCUUUUCUUAGUGACGAAGACAGUGACGGUAGCUAAGGAAUAAGCAUCGGCUAACUACGUGCCAGCAGCCGCGGUAAUACGUAGGAUGCAAGCGUUAUCCGGAUUUACUGGGUGUAAAGGGAGCGCAGGCGGGACUGCAAGUUGGAUGUGAAAUACCGUGGCUUAACCACGGAACUGCAUCCAAAACUGUAGUUCUUGAGUGAAGUAGAGGCAAGCGGAAUUCCGAGUGUAGCGGUGAAAUGCGUAGAUAUUCGGAGGAACACCAGUGGCGAAGGCGGCUUGCUGGGCUUUAACUGACGCUGAGGCUCGAAAGUGUGGGGAGCAAACAGGAUUAGAUACCCUGGUAGUCCACACUGUAAACGAUGAUAGCUAGGUGUGGGGGGUCUGACCCCUUCCGUGCCGGAGUUAACGCAAUAAGCUAUCCACCUGGGGAGUACGACCGCAAGGUUGAAACUCAAAGGAA